GAGUGGAGCCUGCGGCUUAAUUGUGACUCANACACGGGAUAAACUUAUCAGGGUAAAGAAGGUAUUGGGAUUGACAGAUUGAGAGUUNCUUUGCUUGAUUUAUCUAAUGGUGGUGCAUGGCCGUUCUUAGUUGGUGGAGUGAUUUGUCUGGUUAAUUCCGUUAACGAACGAGACCUUAACCUACUAACUAGUAUCUGGUUUUCCAACUAGAAUACUUCUUAGAGGGACAACGUGUUGUAAACACAUGGAAGUUUAAGGCAAUAACAGGUCUGUGAUGCCCUUAGAUACCCUGAGCCGCACGCGCGCUACAAUGACACUUUCAUCAAGUAUCUGCUGAUCCGAAAGGAUUCCGGCUAAUCUUUUUAGUGAGUGUCGUGCUAGGGAUAGAUCUUUGUAAUUGUGGAUCUUGAACGAGGAAUUCCUAGUAAGCAUGGGUCAUUAGCCCAUGCUGAUUACGUCCCCUGCAAAAUGUACACAUCGCCCGUCGCUUGCUCCGAUUGAGUAAUUCUGGUGAGCCUUCUGGACCAUAGCAGUUUANCUGCGAGGGAAAUAUAAGCAAAGCCA
Molecule: ribosomal RNA, 564 nt
Filed under: uncultured eukaryote
Lineage: Eukaryota
Description: bacterial SSU rRNA
Rfam family: Eukaryotic small subunit ribosomal RNA
Source: RNAcentral